RNAcentral lists this ribosomal RNA (459 nucleotides) under uncultured bacterium. RNAcentral describes it as "partial 16S ribosomal RNA". It matches the Rfam family "Bacterial small subunit ribosomal RNA", at positions 338 to 795 of the family's 1533-position model. The record is from RNAcentral.
CCUACGGGAGGCAGCAGUGAGGAAUAUUGGUCAAUGGGCGGGAGCCUGAACCAGCCAAGUAGCGUGAAGGAUGACAGCCCUAUGGGUUUUAAACUUCUUUUAUAAGGGAAUAAAGUGCCCCACGUGUGGGGUUUUGUAUGUACCUUAUGAAUAAGCAUCGGCUAAUUCCGUGCCAGCAGCCGCGGUAAUACGGAAGAUGCGAGCGUUAUCCGGAUUUAUUGGGUUUAAAGGGAGCGUAGGCGGUUCCAUAAGUCAGCGGUAAAAUCGUGCGGCUCAACCGUACCGUGCCGUUGAAACUGUGGGACUUGAGUAUGCGCAGGGUACAUGGAAUUCGUGGUGUAGCGGUGAAAUGCUUAGAUAUCACGAAGAACUCCGAUCGCGAAGGCAUUGUACCGGAGCAAGACUGACGCUGAGGCUCGAAAGUGCGGGUAUCAAACAGGAUUAGAUACCCCAGUAGUC